This 3006-nucleotide ribosomal RNA is filed under the name Salmonella enterica subsp. diarizonae. RNAcentral's name for it is "23S ribosomal RNA". It matches the Rfam family "Bacterial large subunit ribosomal RNA". Lineage: Bacteria; Pseudomonadati; Pseudomonadota; Gammaproteobacteria; Enterobacterales; Enterobacteriaceae. The record is from RNAcentral.
GGUUAAGCGACCAAGCGUACACGGUGGAUGCCCUGGCAGUCAGAGGCGAUGAAGGACGUGCUAAUCUGCGAAAAGCGCCGGUAAGGUGAUAUGAACCGUUAUAACCGGCGAUGUCCGAAUGGGGAAACCCAGUGUGACUCGUCACACUAUCAUUAACUGAAUCCAUAGGUUAAUGAGGCGAACCGGGGGAACUGAAACAUCUAAGUACCCCGAGGAAAAGAAAUCAACCGAGAUUCCCCCAGUAGCGGCGAGCGAACGGGGAGGAGCCCAGAGCCUGAAUCAGCAUGUGUGUUAGUGGAAGCGUCUGGAAAGGCGCGCGAUACAGGGUGAGAGCCCCGUACACAAAAGCGCAUAUGCUGUGAGCUCGAUGAGUAGGGCGGGACACGUGGUAUCCUGUCUGAAUAUGGGGGGACCAUCCUCCAAGGCUAAAUACUCCUGACUGACCGAUAGUGAACCAGUACCGUGAGGGAAAGGCGAAAAGAACCCCGGCGAGGGGAGUGAAACAGAACCUGAAACCGUGUACGUACAAGCAGUGGGAGCCCCACCACUAAGCCAGUGGUGAACUCCACAUACGCAUCCUUUGCGGAAGAUGCGGUUAACGGAGCGAAAGCGACGUUCAACCUCAGAAGAAGCAGAGGGGGCUUAGUGGUGGGGUGACUGCGUACCUUUUGUAUAAUGGGUCAGCGACUUAUAUUCUGUAGCAAGGUUAACCGCAUAGGGGAGCCGAAGGGAAACCGAGUCUUAACCGGGCGUUAAGUUGCAGGGUAUAGACCCGAAACCCGGUGAUCUAGCCAUGGGCAGGUUGAAGGUUGGGUAACACUAACUGGAGGACCGAACCGACUAAUGUUGAAAAAUUAGCGGAUGACCUGUGGCUGGGGGUGAAAGGCCAAUCAAACCGGGAGAUAGCUGGUUCUCCCCGAAAGCUAUUUAGGUAGCGCCUCGUGAAUUCAUCUCCGGGGGUAGAGCACUGUUUCGGCUAGGGGGCCAUCCCGGCUUACCAACCCGAUGCAAACUGCGAAUACCGGAGAAUGUUAUCACGGGAGACACACGGCGGGUGCUAACGUCCGUCGUGAAGAGGGAAACAACCCAGACCGCCAGCUAAGGUCCCAAAGUCAUGGUUAAGUGGGAAACGAUGUGGGAAGGCCCAGACAGCCAGGAUGUUGGCUUAGAAGCAGCCAUCAUUUAAAGAAAGCGUAAUAGCUCACUGGUCGAGUCGGCCUGCGCGGAAGAUGUAACGGGGCUAAACCAUGCACCGAAGCUGCGGCAGCGACACUGUGUGUUGUUGGGUAGGGGAGCGUUCUGUAAGCCGUUGAAGGUGUCCUGUGAGGGGUGCUGGAGGUAUCAGAAGUGCGAAUGCUGACAUAAGUAACGAUAAAGCGGGUGAAAAGCCCGCUCGCCGGAAGACCAAGGGUUCCUGUCCAACGUUAAUCGGGGCAGGGUGAGUCGACCCCUAAGGCGAGGCCGAAAGGCGUAGUCGAUGGGAAACGGGUUAAUAUUCCCGUACUUGGUGUUACUGCGAAGGGGGGACGGAGAAGGCUAUGUUGGCCGGGCGACGGUAGUCCCGGUUUAAGCGUGUAGGUGUGUGUUCCAGGUAAAUCCGGUUCACUUUAACACUGAGGCGUGAUGACGAGGCACCACGGUGCUGAAGCAACAAAUGCCCUGCUUCCAGGAAAAGCCUCUAAGCAUCAGGUAACAUCAAAUCGUACCCCAAACCGACACAGGUGGUCAGGUAGAGAAUACCAAGGCGCUUGAGAGAACUCGGGUGAAGGAACUAGGCAAAAUGGUGCCGUAACUUCGGGAGAAGGCACGCUGACACGUAGGUGAAGUGAUUUACUCAUGGAGCUGAAGUCAGUCGAAGAUACCAGCUGGCUGCAACUGUUUAUUAAAAACACAGCACUGUGCAAACACGAAAGUGGACGUAUACGGUGUGACGCCUGCCCGGUGCCGGAAGGUUAAUUGAUGGGGUCAGCGCAAGCGAAGCUCCUGAUCGAAGCCCCGGUAAACGGCGGCCGUAACUAUAACGGUCCUAAGGUAGCGAAAUUCCUUGUCGGGUAAGUUCCGACCUGCACGAAUGGCGUAAUGAUGGCCAGGCUGUCUCCACCCGAGACUCAGUGAAAUUGAACUCGCUGUGAAGAUGCAGUGUACCCGCGGCAAGACGGAAAGACCCCGUGAACCUUUACUAUAGCUUGACACUGAACAUUGAGCCUUGAUGUGUAGGAUAGGUGGGAGGCUUUGAAGCGUGGACGCCAGUCUGCGUGGAGCCGACCUUGAAAUACCACCCUUUAAUGUUUGAUGUUCUAACGUGGACCCGUAAUCCGGGUUGCGGACAGUGUCUGGUGGGUAGUUUGACUGGGGCGGUCUCCUCCUAAAGAGUAACGGAGGAGCACGAAGGUUGGCUAAUCCUGGUCGGACAUCAGGAGGUUAGUGCAAUGGCAUAAGCCAGCUUGACUGCGAGCGUGACGGCGCGAGCAGGUGCGAAAGCAGGUCAUAGUGAUCCGGUGGUUCUGAAUGGAAGGGCCAUCGCUCAACGGAUAAAAGGUACUCCGGGGAUAACAGGCUGAUACCGCCCAAGAGUUCAUAUCGACGGCGGUGUUUGGCACCUCGAUGUCGGCUCAUCACAUCCUGGGGCUGAAGUAGGUCCCAAGGGUAUGGCUGUUCGCCAUUUAAAGUGGUACGCGAGCUGGGUUUAGAACGUCGUGAGACAGUUCGGUCCCUAUCUGCCGUGGGCGCUGGAAGACUGAGGGGGGCUGCUCCUAGUACGAGAGGACCGGAGUGGACGCAUCACUGGUGUUCGGAUUGUCAUGCCAAUGGCACUGCCCGGUAGCUAAAUGCGGAAAAGAUAAGUGCUGAAAGCAUCUAAGCACGAAACUUGCCCCGAGAUGAGUCUUCCCUGAGACUUUGAGUCUCCUGAAGGAACGUUAAAGACGAUGACGUUGAUAGGCCGGGUGUGUAAGCGCAGCGAUGCGUUGAGCUAACCGGUACUAAUGAACCGUGAGGCUUAACCUU